Molecule: transfer RNA, 99 nt
Filed under: Penicillium vulpinum
Lineage: Eukaryota; Fungi; Ascomycota; Eurotiomycetes; Eurotiales; Aspergillaceae
Rfam family: tRNA
About the family: Transfer RNA (tRNA) molecules are approximately 80 nucleotides in length.
Source: Rfam by way of RNAcentral
GCCAGCGUAGCUCAAUGGUAGAGCGUCAGGCUUUUACUGUUCCACAAAUCGUGGAAGUAUUUAACCUGAAUGUUGCGGGUUCGACCCCCGCCGUUGGCU